This 3206-nucleotide long non-coding RNA is filed under the name Marmota monax (woodchuck). The stretch from base 736 to 792 matches the Rfam family "tRNA", at positions 9 to 63 of the family's 71-position model. Lineage: Eukaryota; Metazoa; Chordata; Mammalia; Rodentia; Sciuridae. The record is from RNAcentral.
CUCUCUUAGAGGAAACUUCCAUCAUUGUCUUCUUUGACAUUCUGCUGCCUCAGACUAUCCAAGGUCUUACUGUUUGGUCUGAUAGACCAGCGUCUGUAUAUUUGCAUGAGAAAGGAAUGCCAAGUCUGCUUGAACAAAAAUGAUAUGAAAAAUGAAAUGGAAAAAUGAAAUAUUAAUUGAAAGAGUGAUGCCAUCUUAGGAUAGUAAAGGGGAAAGAGUACUGGAGAAGAGUAAGAGUACUUUAGUAUUUUAAGUAAAAGAAUUUUUGAAUAGUAACUAAGAAUAAUAACAGAUGAGGACUGGGUAGGGGAAAUUAAAUUAUUACAGGAGCAAGAAUGAGCAAAAGAAAAGAGAGGUAGAAGAUUGGUAAAGAGGAAUGGAAAGAAACAGAAUGAAAGAAAUCAGAUUCCAGCAUCUCCUUUGGUCUCUUGACAUUGGUACCCCUACUUCAUACAUCCCUGGAUUCCCUUCCUCUCCCUCACCCUCUCCUUUCUUCUGGCUGAGUGAUGCUUCAGCUCUUCUUGGUUUCUGGCUUGCCUCCAGCUCUUCCAGGUGUCAAUUCAACACAAAAAAAUAAUGCAUCUAUUAUAAAUAUAUUUAGUUUAAUUGCUAUGCAUUUCUAGGAGCUGUUUUUGCAAUGUAUUGGUAAUUUUUCUAGUCAUGCAUCUUCUCAGAACAAGUAAAAUCACUACAAGUUAUCUCAUAAAAAGUUGUCAGAGUUGAGCUAGGGAUAUAAGCUCAGUUGGUAGAGUUCCUGCCUCACAUGCACAAGGCCCUGGGUUCAAUCCCCAGCACCACAAAAAAAUCGGAAACAAAGUCUAACAUCAGACAAUAUUGAUAUAUGUAAAAUUUCUUUGGCGAAAUGAAAUUUAUUAUUGUCUUGUCCUAAGACUGACUGAAAAGGAUCUUGAGAGGAUCUGACUCUUUUGUCUCCCUCCCUUCAGGAAAGAGUUAAUGCUAUUUAUAUAAAUUCUUCCAGGGACUAACAAGUCUCUCUGAUAAAACUGAUAAAGCAACAAAUCAUGGGUUUCAAUCCAAUAAAACCUUCCGUUUAAAUUACUGAGUUCAAAUCUUCAUAUACUACACCCACAUACAUAUAAUCACACACAUCCACAUACUUUUUAAGGAACUUGUCUCUGCAGUAAAAAAGAUGCACCACUAGAUGGCGGCAUUAUAUGUUGAUUUUAUUACCUGCGCCUUGGCAUUUCUCUGGCUUAAGUAUUCAUAGGCUCAACACAACUCCCUUGUAGACGGUUGGACUAAUGCAAACACCCCUUUCCAUACUCUUUUGAGAGAAUUAAUUUGAAACUAUAUUCUAAACAUGAGAAAAAUAAAAGAGCUUUGAGUUUAUUUUAAGUGAUAUUUGACUAAACCGCUAUAGUGGCAUCAAACACCCAGGACAUCAACUCUGCUCUCUCUCUAAGCUUUAGAUGAGUGUGUGUUUUAAGGUUUCAUGUUUCUUAAUGGUUCAGUUUAAUUAUCACAUUCGUCCAUUUAAUAGGUAUACAACUUGCUUUUGCUUGUCCAAGUCUUUGCGUUGAUUGCCCAUUAUUAUUAUUGCCCACACUUCCUACAGGUAUGCUAAGUCCAAAUAUGUGGGAAUAUAUUUGCUAUAAAUUGCUUAAAAUUUAAAUGAUCCCUACAAAACCUAAAUAUCAAGAACUAAGCUUGCCUAAAAUAACCUUUAUAUAAUUCUAAAACUAAUCCAUCUGAAUAUAUGUGUAUCUGUAUAGCUUUUUUUUUUCAGCAGGCAUCUGGUGGUAACGAGGCAUCUGCUAUAAACUGAUAAUUUUUCAUUGUAUCUAUCUGCACAAGGAAUGAGAAUAAUAUUAUAAUCAGAUUUUAAAAUUAUGAACUGAAUAAGCAAUGUAUUUCAAAAAGAAUCUCAAGGCGAAAACCAUAUUCCAGGGGUAGCUUACAGUAUCCCCAGGCCUCUCUUCUUUUGGCUAGAUUGUCUGGAUGUCAAAGGCACAGAGCCUUGGCAGCCUGGGUGACACAUGUCCUCAGGCUAUUUUGGUUCUUAGGUAUUUGGAAUUUCAGGGCCUCUGAUGGCUGGAUCAUUGUUAAAGAAGCUAAAUGCUUCUGUUUACUUCUUCUAAGCUAAUUAUAUCUUCACUCUUCCAGUUCACUAGCACCGGUGGCUGGGCUUCUUCUCUGCUAAUCCCAUCAAAACCCUACUUAUUUGUGCAUAUAUAGUAUUUUUCUGCCAACCACUUAAUAUUUUUUUUCUUCCAACUGAAAACAAAAUCAGAAGGAAUACAAGAUGUUCCUCCCUGAAGUUUUAUGUAAAAUUCAAUACCAGGACAUUUUCCUCCAAAGGAAAUUAUUUCUUCUAGCCACAUGAUCACCAGCUCAGCUACUAGGCUCUUUCUUAGCAAAUUGGACUCAACUUUCUCAGGUGAGUGGUGUUUAUAACUUUGUUACCUUGAAUCAACCACCUUGGGAUAUGCUUCCUCUCUUUUCAGAAUCUCCUGAACAAAUUUAACUUAUACACAAUAUUGCUGCAGAUCUUAAAGCAAUUAUAGCAGGUGUCUGUCAUGGGUCUGUUCUUUUGAACACAGCAUUUGGCAUUUUUUAUUUGUCUUGUUUUCUAUUUCAUUGUCAGGCUUCCAUAAGCUUUUGAUAGAUUUAGUCAGAGAACUAAAUAUGAAAAUGAAAAUUAGGAAGAAUUUUACUGAGAAUGAUGAGAAAACUCCUUAUAAGUUUCUAGGUACUCCAAUAGUUCUUUGUGCUUUUCUGCUUGUAUUACACUACCUCUAUAUUUUUGGUAUCAGAUAUUACCUACAGUAUUUUUUCUCCUUGGUCAUAUAUGGUUAAUUUUUUGUGCCUGGGAGCAGUGCUUCCUACCCAAUGGCUUGCAUAGUUCCCUCUUGUGCUGAUAAUGAUCCCCUUGGAGCCUGAGAGCUUAUGACUUAUUGCUUUCACUUUCCUACACAUCUGUGCCCCAUAAUGCUGCACAAACAUUGUCAUUUUCUCUCUGUUCCAUGAUGUGAAGAGGUCGGAAGCUUUGCUUUUAGGCAGAACAAACAGGAACAUCACUGAGGUUGGGUUAGGUAGGGCCUUCAGCAGCUGUGGUGAAGCUAUCGAAUGCAUUAAACCCUUUAAAACCUUUCCUGCCCCAAGGUGCUGACUGUCCAGUUGUGUCACUUCCCUUAGGGAUAAGUGAAUGAUCGCCAUAAGCAAGACUUAACUUUAUUGGUGUUCAG